RNAcentral lists this ribosomal RNA (786 nucleotides) under uncultured bacterium. RNAcentral describes it as "bacterial SSU rRNA". It matches the Rfam family "Bacterial small subunit ribosomal RNA", at positions 8 to 807 of the family's 1533-position model. The record is from RNAcentral.
AGAGGUUCAUUCUGGCUCAGGACGAACGCUGGCGGCGCGCCUAACACAUGCAAGUCGAACGAGAGAUGAAGAGCUUGCUCUUCGGAUCGAGUGGCGAACGGGUGAGUAACGCGUGAGGAACCUGCCUCAAAGAGGGGGACAACAGUUGGAAACGACUGCUAAUACCGCAUAAGCCCACGGCUCGGCAUCGAGCAGAGGGAAAAGGAGCGAUCCGCUUUGAGAUGGCCUCGCGUCCGAUUAGCUAGUUGGUGAGGUAACGGCCCACCAAGGCGACGAUCGGUAGCCGGACUGAGAGGUUGAACGGCCACAUUGGGACUGAGACACGGCCCAGACUCCUACGGGAGGCAGCAGUGGGGAAUAUUGCACAAUGGGGGAAACCCUGAUGCAGCGACGCCGCGUGGAGGAAGAAGGUCUUCGGAUUGUAAACUCCUGUUGUUGAGGAAGAUAAUGACGGUACUCAACAAGGAAGUGACGGCUAACUACGUGCCAGCAGCCGCGGUAAAACGUAGGUCACAAGCGUUGUCCGGAAUUACUGGGUGUAAAGGGAGCGCAGGCGGGAGAACAAGUUGGAAGUGAAAUCCAUGGGCUCAACCCAUGAACUGCUUUCAAAACUGUUUUUCUUGAGUAGUGCAGAGGUAGGCGGAAUUCCCGGUGUAGCGGUGGAAUGCGUAGAUAUCGGGAGGAACACCAGUGGCGAAGGCGGCCUACUGGGCACCAACUGACGCUGAGGCUCGAAAGUGUGGGUAGCAAACAGGAUUCGAUACCCUGGUAGUCCACACCGUAAAC